This is a long non-coding RNA of Onychostruthus taczanowskii (white-rumped snowfinch), 743 nucleotides long. RefSeq lists it as uncharacterized. Lineage: Eukaryota; Metazoa; Chordata; Aves; Passeriformes; Passeridae. The record is from RefSeq and is a predicted model, not a curated record. The transcript has 5 exons.
GUGAGUUCAGGAGCUCAGAGCUGACAUGGAGAGCUGAAAGGACUUUGCAAAGCAGAGAUUAAUUUCUGGCAAAGGAUGUCUGACAUUCACGAGCUAUUAAAGCUUUUGGAUAUAAAAAGCAUUGGCCUGUUUUAUGAAGGAAAGAACCACAGAGUGCACUGCUGGUAGUGCCAAAUCCUCUCCUCCCAGUCUUGGGGCAGCUCCGGAGUGCUGCUGCAGAGCCCAUGGGGUGAGACUGUCACUGAAGCUGCGCUGCGUCCUGUCUGUGAUCACACGUCCUGCUGCAUCCCAGCUGAGGAGGCCUCAUAAACAGGCAGACCUACGGGAGUGUACAACUCAGACAUUUUGCUUGGAGUAAUACCAAGAAUUCAUCCCCUGCCAAUAUCAAGCCCUGUGUCAAAGCAGGCUACUUUGCAGACAUCUGUGCGUGUCUAGAUGAUGCAGUCCCUGUGGAGACAUGGAUACAUACAGGUAGCAGGCAGGAGCAGACUGAUUCACUGUGCCUAUGGUGGAUGAGAUGAACGGCUCCCAUUUCUCCCUAUUGAUCACAAAGGUAAUGCAGUGAUGACAAGCCUGGCAGCAGAUGUCAAUGCUUUAGAAAGUGAUGUGCAGUGAGCUGCAUUUUCUUCAUUGUGAUACAUGUCACAUUCUCUAGCAUUACUUUUGAUACACCAUCAAGACUACCUGCUGCUCUGUGAUUAAUGCCAUGUUCAGGCAGCUCCAAGGUACGGAUGAGACUGAUG